GAUGAACGCUGGCGGCGUGCCUAAUACAUGCAAGUCGAGCGAACGGACGAGAAGCUUGCUUCUCUGAUGUUAGCGGCGGACGGGUGAGUAACACGUGGAUAACCUACCUAUAAGACUGGGAUAACUUCGGGAAACCGUAGCUAAUACCGGAUAAUAUUUUGAACCGCAUGGUUCAAAAGUGAAAGACGGUCUUGCUGUCACUUAUAGAUGGAUCCGCGCUGCAUUAGCUAGUUGGUAAGGUAACGGCUUACCAAGGCAACGAUGCAUAGCCGACCUGAGAGGGUGAUCGGCCAAACUGGAACUGAGACACGGUCCAGACUCCUACGGGAGGAAGCAGUAGGGAAUCUUCCGCAAUGGGCGAAAGCCUGACGGAGCAACGCCGCGUGAGUGAUGAAGGUCUUCGGAUCGUAAAACUCUGUUAUUAGGGAAGAACAUAUGUGUAAGUAACUGUGCACAGCUUGACGGUACCUAAACAGAAAGCCACGGCUAACUACGUG
This 497-nucleotide ribosomal RNA is filed under the name uncultured bacterium. RNAcentral describes it as "partial 16S ribosomal RNA". It matches the Rfam family "Bacterial small subunit ribosomal RNA", at positions 28 to 507 of the family's 1533-position model. The record is from RNAcentral.